UCCAGCUCCCUCACAUUUGACUACCAUAAACAACUCAGUUUUGGCUAUUACAAAAGACUAAAGCUAAGUCGCUAACCCUUUCACUUAAGAUACAAGACAUUACUAAAAUUCGAUGUCGAUGACCAGCUCUACGCCAAUAAUCAACCUGCCACAUCACCAUUUACCUGGCUCUUCAUCAAGUAUCACUUGGUUGCUGGUGAGCUUCUUGUUGUUGUGGUUGAGUCUGUGGCCAGGGCAUGAAUGCCACAGGUGGACGAGGCUGCUGGGCUCCACAGACUACUGCUUGAUCAACUGGCUUUCCCAUGAUCAUCCCUGGAGGUCCCACAGGAUGCUGCGGUGGGACAUAAUAAUAUGGCAUAUCAGCAGGGGAACCAACCAUAGGAAUAGUCGCCUUGGUGACCCCUAAUCCCUCCUCUUUUAACUCGUCUCUGGGAAUAAUAUCAACCAAGAAAUC
RNAcentral lists this unclassified non-coding RNA (454 nucleotides) under Hevea brasiliensis (rubber tree). The record is from RNAcentral. Lineage: Eukaryota; Viridiplantae; Streptophyta; Magnoliopsida; Malpighiales; Euphorbiaceae.